This 443-nucleotide ribosomal RNA is filed under the name uncultured bacterium. Its description in RNAcentral is "SSU rRNA". It matches the Rfam family "Bacterial small subunit ribosomal RNA", at positions 26 to 518 of the family's 1533-position model. The record is from RNAcentral.
AGAACGAACGCUGGCGGCAGGCUUAACACAUGCAAGUCGAGCGCCCCGCAAGGGGAGCGGCAGACGGGUGAGUAACGCGUGGGAACAUACCCUCCGGUUCGGAAUAGCUCAGGGAAACUUGGAUUAAUACCGGAUACGGCCUAGCGGCGAAAGAUUCAUCGCCGGAGGAUUGGCCCGCGUUCGAUUAGCUAGUUGGUGAGGUAACGGCUCACCAAGGCGACGAUCGAUAGCUGGUCUGAGAGGAUGAUCAGCCACAUUGGGACUGAGACACGGCCCAAACUCCUACGGGAGGCAGCAGUGGGGAAUAUGGACAAUGGGCGCAAGCCUGAUCCAGCCAUGCCGCGUGAGUGAUGACGGCCUUAGGGUUGUAAAGCUCUUUCGCUAGGGACGAUAAUGACGGUACCUAGACAAGAAGCCCCGGCUAACUUCGUGCCAGCAGCCGC